GGCCUCAAACGCUAGUUAAGCCAACCCUAAGUCCUCUUCAAACUGCAUAUGGGCUAUUUUGUUCAACCAAGGGGAAAAAUUCCCUUAACUGAGGAUCGGAUAAGGGAAAUUCUCAAGCAAUGUGACACUAAUCAAGAUGAAAUUCUCAGCAGGAAAGAGCUUCAAGAAUCCUUCAAGCAAUUUGGUUCAAAUCACCCUCAUUUGAGGGCGAUUGAUGCGUUAAUCCAUGCUGAUGCCAACCUCAAUUUCCAGAUCGACUCCAAUGAGAUAAAAGCCCUUGUUGAAUUCAUCACCAAACGUGAAUACAACUACACACCUUCCUAGAAUAUAAAGGUUGCCUUAAUUGCAAUACUGUGCUAAUGUUUAUUAUUUAUUAGCAACUUUCUCUUUCUAUGUUGCCGACCUACCAGGUCAUAACCCUCUGCCUAUGUGUCGUGCCUUAUCUAUCUAUAUCUAUCUAAAGGAAAGCGAAGUUUCUUUUAUUUUCAUGUUUUCUUUUCCAUUUUUUAUUACUUCUUUACUUUGGUUGGUAAUCUUUUUAUAGGAAAGGGAAAGGAACUUUUUUUUAUGUAGUAUUAUGUUUUUUUCUUCCUUUUUUCUUCACUUAGUAUCUAUUGCAUCAGAUUAAAUUUUUUAAGAGGCCUAUUAGCAGGAUAUAGUUAAGCAAUAUUUGCUAAAUUUUC
RNAcentral lists this unclassified non-coding RNA (683 nucleotides) under Hevea brasiliensis (rubber tree). The record is from RNAcentral. Lineage: Eukaryota; Viridiplantae; Streptophyta; Magnoliopsida; Malpighiales; Euphorbiaceae.